Molecule: long non-coding RNA, 392 nt
Filed under: Capsicum annuum
Lineage: Eukaryota; Viridiplantae; Streptophyta; Magnoliopsida; Solanales; Solanaceae
Description: long non-coding RNA (CANN_LNC007022)
Source: RNAcentral
GUAGCGCCUAUCCCAAAGGUUUAAGUCCUUGGAAAACAUGAAAAAGCUCAUAUUACCUAAAUGGACAAAGAAGGAUUUAAUCACACCUCUGUCCUCCUAGUGGGUACUCAAGCUCAAAUAAGUUCCCAAUUCUAACAAAUGAUUGUAACUGUAGGAGGGAGAAAGGGUUUGCAAUUAGAAUAAUCUUCUUGAUAUGUAAUUUCGCAAGGCUAUGAAUAGAAGAUUAAUUGUAUUUUGCUUCCUGAGAAACUUUAAGGUGAUAGUGUCUUAUGUGAAUAGGUAAAUAUGGACAAAAAUUACUUACAAUAUAUGGGAAUGGUCAAGAGCCUAAGUUAGAAAUCUCAUGGCUUUUUUCAGCAUUCCUAUCCUAAGAAUGAGCUCAUAAAGAUGUG